Molecule: long non-coding RNA, 5311 nt
Filed under: Sorghum bicolor (sorghum)
Lineage: Eukaryota; Viridiplantae; Streptophyta; Magnoliopsida; Poales; Poaceae
Description: long non-coding RNA (SBIC_LNC007329)
Source: RNAcentral
CCGCUUAUGUUCAUAUCGUCAUAUGUCCUAGGACAUGGUAUGCUAGCUAUAUGCUUGAAUGAUUUAUCCCACACAACUCUCACUAUAAGCUGGCUGAUGUGGUUCUGCAGACCUUGGAGAGAUUGUUCGAGCCAAGUUUGAUUUCGACGUGGUGGGCCACUACUCGCGACCUGAGGUGCUGAGUUUGGUGGUGAAGACUGAUCCAAAGCCUGCUGUCUCCUUCACUUCCGCAUCAGAGAAGACUAACGCUGGAUAGGGCAAUGACGUCUUGAAUACCUAAUGAUCACAUAUCCUAUAUAUAAUAACAAUUGCAAGUUGUCAUUGCAUGAAAGUAGUCGCAGACUUCUGUUCAGAAUAAACUAGACUGACUUCCUUAAUAAUGGCCCUAGUUUUCGACAUUUUUUCUUUACGGACUUAGCAGCCAUGCAUCUUGGAAAUCUCACGUGACCUUGAGCCAAAAGAAAUAAAAUGGGAGGGAGGGAGGUCAUCGCGAUAUACCACCUCUCCUAGACUCCUUCGCUCGCCUCGACCCCGCCAAACCAAAAUACGAACAGAUAUCAAAACGCACACGGACCACGACCUGGUACGGUCACGGGCUUCAAUUGGGCCGUGCCUCGAGCAAAUGGACUUGAGAGCCCAUAACCCGACAAGAAUACUGUCCAUGUCAUAAUCAACACAAAGUAAUACAUAUAGACAUUAAUUAAAUUAAUAAAUUGUAGCUCUUAAGUUUCAUAAAGAAAGGGAGAGAUAAAUAGAUAUACAAAACUUUUUGUUUCCAUUUUCCAUGAACGUUUGAUAGCAUUUUUUCAUCCAUUACGACGCACAUGCAUGUUUGCUAUUUUUUUAGAAGCUCUCUUUUAUAACUUUGUACGUGUUUAUGUUAUAAGGAAGAUUUAUAAAUCAUUUAUAAGUUGUUUGGUUAGAUGAAGCACUCCAUUCUAGAAGAGGUGAUGCAUAAUGACUCCAUUCCUUCAAAUUUAGCGGAAUGACUUCAUUUCUAGUACUAAUAGUCUAAUACUAAUCAUUAGCUCAUGAGAAAUGAGAUGACGAUAAAUGACACAUUUUAUUCCAUAAACCAUUCCUGAAACCAAACAUCCAGUUAAAUAUUGAAUGCGUUGUAAAGGCCAAUAAGCACUUUACAAGUUUUGGAAGAAGAGCCUGACACGGGCAAAGAGUUCAGUUGACCUAGAACGAUUUGUCUAAGCUUGUCCUCUGCACGAGGUCUUAUUAGGGAAAAACAAUCUCCUCCGAUCUAUAUACACAUUGGGAACAAGCGAGAGGAAAAAAAUAAUCCAAAUUUUCGUUCUAACCUGCAGGUAUCGGGAGGAACUAAACAAGUUUAUCAACAUAUUAUGAGAGAAAAACUAUUAUGAGCCCAUUCGCUUUCUCUACCGACAACAGCUUAGUCGUAGCUUUUUGGUCCUAUGUAAUCUGCAUUUUGGUUUCCAGUAGCUAGGUUCUCUUGCUGGGUGUUGGUCUCUCGCCUUCGUCCAACUUCGCUUGUAAUAUUUGGUUAUCCUUUUUUAAUAAAAAACAGACUAAAUUUCCGAUCGUGAAAAAGAAAAGUCAUGACUGAAAGUAUUGUUCGCUGAUUUAUUAUGAAAGAAAAACAUUUUUGAUUAGCAGAAAAAAUACAGAUCUUAUAACACAUGAUACUUGAUGCGAACUUGCAUUCGUGUACCUGCAGACUGCUGCUGCCGCUCUCAGUCCUUCUCCUUCCUUAUUAUAAACCGCCCACUGGCCUGGUAGUGGUUGGUGCUCUCCGGCAGUUCUGCUCCUCUGCACGGCCUCUCUCGCCUCCGGUAUCCACCUCUCCUUCCUUCCUUCACAUCGAGCCGCGAUAUAUAAUAAGUAGCUAGCCGGCCGGAGACGACGACGAUGGCCCUCGCUCCAGCGAGCUCCGGCAAAGAGCCCGUGAUCAGCCCGCCGGAGGUGGAGAUGAACGGCGGCGCUGACCAGCCCGCCGCCACAACCGUGCGUGCCUCCGUCGUGCAGGCGUCGUCCGUGUUCUACGACACCCCCGCCACUCUCGGUGCGUGCAAGUUUUCUCUCCAAUCCCCCCCGCGUUGUUCUUGCGCUUGUUGUUGGAGUAGCUCGCCCAUGCAUCCGCCUACUUUGACUGUGUAAUUUGCACUUUGUUCGUGCAAAUUAGUUUAGUUUAGCCUAGUUUGAUUGUGUAGCGUCUAGCGUGAUGGCUCGUACUUCGUAGAGGUUCGUGAACCAAAUCGUUUAGGCCUUGUUUAGUUCCAAAAUUUUUUACAAAAUAGGAAUAAUAUCACUUUCGUUUGUAUUUGACAAAUAUUAUCCGAUCAUAUACUAGACUCAAAAGAUUCGUCUCAUCAAUUUCGACCAAACUAUACAAUUAGUUUUUAUUUUCGUCUAUAUUUAAUACUUCAUGCAUACGUCUAAAGAUUUGAUGUGACGGAGAAUCUGAAAAAUUUUGUAAAAUUUUUUGGAACUAAACAAGGCCUUAAUUGAAUUAUGACAGUAAGUGUUGUUAUGUUGUAGAGUAAGCUUUACCAAUAGUGAACACUCGUAUCAGUAAUUGAUUGACAUGACGCGGCAUCUACUUCAAGGAGACAUUUUUCUCUGCUACUCGCGUACUACUGCUGAUAUAAUUUCCUAGACAUAUAUAUGGAGGGACAGGUGGGCUUUGUCAAGGUGAAUGAGGUAGAUGGUGAAAGCAAAUUGUAUUAGCUUUUCGUUAGAUAGUGCUGCAUGAGUUUGCGUGGACAGUUUUUCUUUCUUGGAGGGCCUGGAAGAUGAGGUAUUUGAGGUGCGACGGCACACUGGCAUUCGAGAGAAAAAAAAUACUCCAUUCGUCCUAAAGUUAGCUUUUCGAGAAUUUAAACAAUCUUGAUUUUAACUGAAUUUAUAAAAACAUGCAUAUCAUUAGGAUAACUAAUCUAUUUGGUGGUAUAAAUCGUGAUAUUUUUUAUAAAUGUAACAAAGAAAGUAAUAUCUUUUGUGGGCAUACUACAAUUUGACGCCUCAGUUGCUACCAAGUACUAGAGUCAUAUUUUCUAACAACUUUUUUCUCUGUCUUUUAAUAUAGUGAAUAUAUAUGCAUUAAUAUUUUUCAUAAAUAUAAGAGGUUUGGAAAAAAAAAGGUGGGCAAAUUUGGCACAAUCACUAUUCAGUACGUGUGCAUCGCUAACUGUAUUGGGCACAUGACGCCCCACGCACCGGAAUCAACGAAGAAGGGGCAGCGGCGUAGCGGGCGGACAGGCGGUGGGCGGAGCGGCCAGUGGCGAGGUCACCGUGGCCGGGGCAGUGGACAAGGCGGUAGUGGAGGUGGUGGUUAGGGUUACGGUUGGUCGACAGGUGAGGCUUCAAGAAUCACCUCGACUCUAGAUUGCUAGCCAAUCGGCUAGGGGCGGCGGCCACGACACGUUGGUGGUGGCUGGUGGUGAGCGAGGCGGCGGCGCCGCGGCCCGCGGGCAGGGUAGGACAACUGGAUAGGCGGGGUAUGCAGCGAUGUCGUGCUUCGGCGAAGUUAGGGGAGGGCAGGUUCAUCUGGUGGAGAUGUCCGGUGGGCGGGGAGGUCGCCGGCGAGCUUGGGCAGUGGGUCGAGGUGGGUGGGGGAGGGGCUUGCUGGGGAAGAAGAAGAAGAAGAAGAAGAAGAAGAAGAAGAAGAAGAAGAGUGGGGAGGAGGGAAAGAAGAGAAACAAUAUGCGCCAAUAAGGUUGCUGGUGUGCGUGCGGGAAAGGGCCCCACAAAUUUGGUAGAUAGAUUAUUGUUACCUGCCAUUUAUCAAGCAACCCCUUCAAUCAUGUGGAUGAGUGUCUUUUUUAAGAAGUAAAGUAAAGGUGUAUGUUUUUUGUAUUUUCUCUUGAUCUCUAGGAUACACUUCAUUAUAGGACACAGGAAGUAAAUCUUAUUAUGUCAUUGGACAUGUGGCAUUUUGUAAAUUUCGUCACUUCAUUUUGCUACAGAUAAAGCGGAGAAAUUCAUAGCGGAGGCAGCCGGAAACGGUUCACAGCUGGUGCUAUUUCCAGAAGCCUUCAUUGGUGGCUACCCUCAUGGAUCUACAUUUGGACUGGCUAUUGGCAAUCGCACUGCCAAGGGAAAGGAAGACUUCCAAAAGUACCAUGCAGCUGCCAUAGAUGUUCCUGGUAUUCUAAACUAAAAUAAUGCUAGUCUAUCCAUGUUUAUUUUUCACGAAUGUAGACAUCUAUUGCUUCUCUUUAGAACACUUUACAGAUGCUGCUUGAUGAAUGCAUACAGGCCCAGAAGUGUCCCGCUUAGCUUCAUUAGCCGGAAAAUACAAGGUGUUUCUGGUGAUGGGGGUGGUUGAAAGGGCAGGCUAUACACUCUACAACACGGCGCUCUUCUUCGAUCCUCUGGGAAAAUUUCUAGGGAAGCACCGCAAGCUCGUGCCUACUGCACUGGAACGUACAUUCUGGGGUUUUGGAGAUGGAUCUACGCUGCCCGUCUUUGAUACCCCGUUGGGAAAAAUCGGUGCCCUCCUCUGCUGGGAAAACAAGAUGCCACUUGCCAGGACAGCCAUGUACGCCAAAGGUAUGUAUGUAUCCCUAGCUAGCUAUUUCAUGGCCGGAAGUAGCUCCUGGUGCUUAAGUACCUAUGUAUUCCAACACUGUUCUUGCACAGUGUCUCAUGCUGAAACCUCCUCUGUGUGUGUUUGUGCAGGGAUUCAGAUAUAUUGUGCUCCCACAGCUGAUGCGUCCCCAACUUGGGUGGCUUCCAUGACGCAUAUCGCCCUCGAAGGGGGAUGCUUCGUGGUGUCGGCAAACCAGUUCUGUCGCAGGAAGGACUACCCACCCCCUCCGGAGUAUACAUUCGGUGGCCUCGACGAAGAGCCAUCCCCGGAGACUGUUGUGUGUCCUGGAGGAAGUGUCAUCGUUUCACCGUCCGGGACAGUGUUGGCAGGCCCCAACUUCGAGGGUGAGGGCCUCGUUACAGCUGACCUCGGUAAGAAACCAGACCGCCGAUUCAUAUGAAUUCUACUGAAAAUGUGACAGUUAACAGCCUAUUCGUUUAAGUUUAUCCGCCGAAUCUACCCGUCAUUUAUAACAAAUUAAUGAAUACUACUUUCUGUCAUGACUUAUCAGCAAACGAACGAGACUAUGCUUGAAUGAUUUUUGUUCUGAGACAGCUCAGCUCUCAGUAGAAACUGCCUAAUUAUGGUUUGGUUCACAGACCUUGGAGAGAUUGUUCGAGCCAAGUUUGAUUUCGACGUGGUGGGGCACUACUCGCGACGUGAGGUGCUGAGUUUGGUGGUGAAGACUGAUCCAAAGUCUGCUGUCUCUUUCACUGCUUCAGCCGAUGGAGAGAGGCCGGCUUCCGCUGG